RNAcentral lists this long non-coding RNA (952 nucleotides) under Equus asinus (donkey). RNAcentral describes it as "lncRNA (ENSEASG00005024417.1)". The record is from RNAcentral. Lineage: Eukaryota; Metazoa; Chordata; Mammalia; Perissodactyla; Equidae.
AGCUGACUGAAUUGAAACUCUGGGAUUGGGUGUGGCAAGCUCAUGAUUCCCUCCAGGUGAUUCUGAUGUCUACUAAAGUUUGAGAAACAGUGUGUAGAUAAUAGGAAUUUGGGUUCUAUAGUCAGGCUUCCUUUUUGAGCAGGCAGCUUAAGCUCACUGCACCUGGUUUUCACAUCUGUAGAGUGGGAAUAACGAUAAUACUUAGAUUAUAAAGUUAGAGUAAUCCAUGUUGGCUAUUCUGUGCUGCUGGAGCUGGAUCAGGGAGUUGACCCUGAGAUUAUAGUGGGAGAAGCUGAGGUUCAAAUGCCAGGAGAGCAUGGGUAGGUGCUAAAUCUGGAGGUGUCGAAGAUAGGGAUAGAAGCAAGGUUUAUGAUAAGUGAGACAAGAGUGAGAGAAAGCAGUUUGGGAUCAGCUGGGGAAAGGGAGUGCCCUGAGAACUUGCCCUAGUGGGCCAGUGGGAGUUUGAGUUAUGAGAAGGAGUUAAUUUUAUGUCAUGAGCUGACUCAACACCUUCACCACUGCAUCCUAGAUGAAGACAGGUGGGGCUAACAGGAUGAAAUUCCAAGGGACCAAAGUCUGGAUAACUUCUUCCCCUGAGGCAGUAGAAGAAUCUGCUGAUGGAGAGACGGCAGAAUUGGAACCACAGGAGAGGAAGAUUAGCCCUGAGCUAACAUCUGCCAUCAAUCCUCCUCUUUUUGCUGAGGAAGACUGGCCCUGAGCUAACAUCCGUGCCCAUCUUCCUCUAUUUAUAUGUGGGGUGCCUGCCACAGCAUGGCUUGCCAAGCAGUGUGUAGGUCGACACCUGGGAUCUGAACCAGCGAACCCUGGGCUGCGAAGCGGAAAAUGCGAACUUAACUGCUGUGCCACUGGGCCGGUCCCUUUUUUAUGUUUCUAUAUUACUGCAUUGGACUGUUUCCACUUUCCUUCCUUCCCUUCCAUCCUUUCUUCCUUC